This 244-nucleotide non-coding RNA is filed under the name Clostridium pasteurianum. RNAcentral's name for it is "T-box sequence". It matches the Rfam family "T-box leader". From Rfam's summary of the family: Uncharged tRNA acts as the effector for transcription antitermination of genes in the T-box leader family. T-boxes are found upstream of many aminoacyl-tRNA synthetase genes and some amino acid biosynthetic genes usually in Gram-positive bacteria. The record is from RNAcentral. Lineage: Bacteria; Bacillati; Bacillota; Clostridia; Eubacteriales; Clostridiaceae.
UUAAAUACAAAGAAGAGGAAUAGUAGAAAUAUAAGUUCUUUAAAAGAGAGGGAAUGCUAGCUGAAAAAUUCCUUAAGGAGCCCCUUUGAACCUGCCUCUGAGUUCUGCACUGAAAUAAGGUAUAUGAAUUUCAACAUUCCUUAAAGUAGGCUGUAGCGGUUAAAUUCCGUUAAAGAUAAGAGUGAGUAGUGUUAAUUAAUUUAUUAAUUAGGGUGGUACCGCCGAUAUAGUCUCGGUCCCUUUG